This 598-nucleotide ribosomal RNA is filed under the name uncultured fungus. RNAcentral's name for it is "eukaryotic LSU rRNA". The stretch from base 211 to 364 matches the Rfam family "5.8S ribosomal RNA". Lineage: Eukaryota; Fungi. The record is from RNAcentral.
AAGUCGUAACAAGGUUUCCGUAGGUGAACCUGCGGAAGGAUCAUUAUUGAAAUAAACCUGAUGGGUUGUUGCUGGUUCUCUAGGGAGCAUGUGCACGCCUUGUCAUCUUUAUAUCUCCACCUGUGCACUUUUUGUAGACCUUUCAGGUCUAUGUUUUCUCAUUUUACCCCAAUGUAUGUCGAUAGAAUGUUGUGCCUUUAUAAUGUAUACAACUUUCAGCAACGGAUCUCUUGGCUCUCGCAUCGAUGAAGAACGCAGCGAAAUGCGAUAAGUAAUGUGAAUUGCAGAAUUCAGUGAAUCAUCGAAUCUUUGAACGCACCUUGCGCUCCUUGGUAUUCCGAGGAGCAUGCCUGUUUGAGUGUCAUUAAUAUAAUCAACCUUCUCUUCUUGAGUUGGCUUGGAUGUGGGGGGUUUUUAUAUGCUGGCCUUUCCAAAGUUCAGCUCCCCUGAAAUGCAUUAGCAGAACAACCCUUGUUCAUUGGUGUGAUAACUAUCUACGCUAUUGGAUGUGAGGGGGCAGUUCAGCUUUCUAACAGUCUUUGGACAAUUCAUCAUUUAAUGUGACCUCAAAUCAGGUAGGACUACCCGCUGAACUUAA